This 294-nucleotide long non-coding RNA is filed under the name Ananas comosus (pineapple). Its description in RNAcentral is "long non-coding RNA (ACOM_LNC041476)". Lineage: Eukaryota; Viridiplantae; Streptophyta; Magnoliopsida; Poales; Bromeliaceae. The record is from RNAcentral.
AUCUACUUCCAGAGCUUCUCUGGUUGCAGCAUUUUCUCUAAUUAAAUUUGAGAUUAAUUAUUUUGGAGCAGCUCCCUCUUCAAUCUAAUCCUUUCUGGAUCUGUGGUUAGUUGUUCUUCUUCUUCUUCCCCUACUCUUUUCAAUUAAUUUUUAUUUUCUUUGCUAUCAAGUAGUUGAUUCUGCAAAAGGGUACAAGGAGUAUACUAUAUGUCUUUGUUGAUUAAUGUGUUGUUUGGAUUCACUUGAUCUUUAGAAACAAAAUAACAAGAGAUUAUAAUUAAGGUAGAAUAAUUU